Molecule: long non-coding RNA, 843 nt
Filed under: Phaseolus vulgaris (common bean)
Lineage: Eukaryota; Viridiplantae; Streptophyta; Magnoliopsida; Fabales; Fabaceae
Description: long non-coding RNA (PVUL_LNC004912)
Source: RNAcentral
GGCUUCUUGGACACUUUGAGCCCUUGAAGACACACUCACCGUCUAAACGUAAUUAACAAGGUAAUUAACAAUAAACCAAGUUGCAAAGGAAGUAAGAAAACUCCCUUUGUUGUUCCUCCUUUUGGUUAGUGCACUUCUUUGUUGUCUUGAUUGUUGAUCUCCUAAGUGUUUGUAGUGUUUGUUUCAAGAAAGCUUGUUUCGGCUUUGGCUUUGUCUCCUCCUUAGAAUGUUGGCUUUAAUUCUCCAAUUUCCAGCACCUAUUCACAAGGGCUAAACCUUAAACCAAGUCAAAUUCCAUGCACAUAAGCACCAAGGGAGAAAUUAAAUUCCAGCACCCAAAAAGAGAGGUCAAGGAACAAAAGCAAGAAACAAAUUUAAUUGAAAGAAAACAGUACCACCAAAAGGAUUUAUAAUAUGACAACUUAGAAAGAGAUUCAAGAAAUUAAAGCAAACAAAUAAAGGUACUCAAUUAAAGGUUGGCACACAAAAAGAAUUCCUAAAGAAAAGCACUAGAUUAGAUGACCAAAUAAAAAAAACAGCACCACUGGAAAAUGUUGUGGGCCAGAAAACGUGUUUGUUCCCCGAUUUAUGUUGAUCUGUAUUUUUGGAAUUUGGCUCUGAAAUUUGUUAUGCAAGAUAUUCAGGAUCUUAUCUAAAAUCUGGCUUUGGAUUCACUCAAAACGGAUGCACCAUUUUUUUUUAAUAAAUUUUGCAAAAUUGGUGUUCGGUUAGGCCAGCUGGAGCGCUUCAGAUUUGCACUCUGAUCUUAAAAGAUUUAUCAUUUUUUUUCUGUUGCUUCUUUUGACCUAAUUCUUUUUUUGUCUUUUCUAUAACACUUUAAAC